Chrysemys picta bellii (western painted turtle) is the source of this 1630-nucleotide non-coding RNA. The record is from RefSeq and is a predicted model, not a curated record. Lineage: Eukaryota; Metazoa; Chordata; Testudines; Emydidae.
AUCACUUAAUUUAUAUUGAUUUUAGUCAGGCUUUUGACUAGAGUCCCACAUGCCAGGCUCCUAAGCAAACCAGAUAAAUGGGGUCGAGAUGCAAUUCCAAAGAGUCGUCGUCAAAGGUUGGUGGUCAAACUGGGAGGGCGUAUCUACUGGGGUCCCACAGGGGUCAGUCCUGGGUCAUCUUCAUUAAUGACUCGGAUAAAGGAGUGGAGAGGAUGCUCCUAAAAGCAGCAGAAGCUGGGCGGGGUCGCAAGCACUUUGCAGGACAGCGUCACAAUUGGGAGAAUUGGUCUGAAAUCCACAAGAUUCAAUUCAGUAAAAACCAGUGCAAGGAACCGCACGCAGGGAAAAUCAAACGCGCGGCUACAAACCCAUCGGCGAGGUGGUCGUGCGGCUGCAAAGGCCCUGGGGCUUAGAGCAGAUCGCAGCUUGCAUAGGAGUUGCAAAAAGGGUCAUUUCGUUCUGGGCUGUGUUAACGCUAUUUGAACAGGGUAACCAGGAAGACCUGGGUCUUUCUAGGCCUGUCACCCGAUACGGUUCCCAGGCAAGAGAAUGGAGCGGCCGAUACGGGAUCCGACUGAUAAAGAAUGAAGAGGAUAAUGUAAUUAGGGCCAGUCCCCGCGGGUGUAUGGAGAAUCGAUCCCGAAGGCGCGCUCUGCUUGCACGGGGAUUACGGGUUUGGCUGGCGAAGGUCGCGGGGCGGCUGUAACAGCCUUGGGCGUCAGCGGGACUAACGAGCGCCGGGUCAAACGAAGCCGGCCCGUGUUCGGUGGCUGAGAAGCUGGCUCCCGGCGAAGGGUAAAUGGGAUCCGGCGUGGAGCAGGCCCAGCAGACAACAUCAGCUCACCCCCUCCAUCAAGUUUGCAGAAGACCCAGAAAUUGGAGGAGGUGAAUUCAGUCCAGGGCCCGUCAGACGACCCCCCGGCAGCCCCCCGGAGCUCUCGUGUGGCCAUGGGCAGAGACCGAGGGGCCCCCAGCGCCAUGGGACCCGGCCCGGCCAGGGGUGAGACGGGCCCAGAGGAUCUAGCAGCACCCUGCCCCACGGAUUACUGAGCUGGGGGGAAUCCCUUUCCUGUCCGCCGCCCGGCGUCCCAGCUCGUGCGAGCCAGCCGGAUGGAGCCUCUGGCUGCACCUGAGACCCCUUGUUCAGCAUCUGCUCCAGCUCUGCACCCCGAAAGUGGACUCUCUGAGCAGACCGGCCGCCCCCCCGGCCAGGCCCCGCAGCCCCCCAGCAGUGCCAGGAGCUUGGAGGGCCUCCAGCCCCACGGCGGCUGGCCGAAGACCCCACCCGGGGGCCCAUCGCUGCUCCCGCCGCCCCCCAGCCAGCGCCCCCCCCCGGCCUGAAGAUGGGGGAGCCCUGGGCACGCCCUGGAGCCCGCCCGGCCGUGCCCCACAACCUGGGGGGUCACCCGGCCCCAUGCCCCACCCACCGCGCCUAUGUCUGCCCCCUGCCCGAGAGCCCCGGCUGGAGCCCGCUGACCCCCAGCCUGGGCGGGGUCCCCUCCAAGGGCUGGCAGGGGGACUCCGCUGGGGAGGGUGACUCCGUGUACCCCCCCAGCUCCUCCUUCACCUGCUGGAACCGGGAGGGCUCAGGGGUCCUGCGCUAGGCCCCCCGGGGACAAUAAAGUGCAGA